CUGGUAAUGUUCUUGCCUCUACCUCAUCCCAUGUCAGAUCUCAUCUCAACAACCAGAAUGAUCUUUAAAAAUAUAAAUUUACCUAAAGUACACCAUAUUUUUCCCCUUAAACUCGUGGCUCAAUAUAAAUUUCAUACCUCAUCUCUUUAACAACCCGAUCUCCUUUUCUUCGUGAGGAGUGUUUAAGCUCCAUGAGUGCGACAAACUGUUGGAUCUCCCUAAACCCUGUUAUGCAGAAGUUUGCCAGAAAGCCCAAGAGGUCAGUAUAAGAUGAAUAUUGACUGAUUGGAUAAACUUGUGCUGAGAGAGCAAGUGAAUUAUACUUGAUCUCUCUGGUCUGGGAAGUGUUCAUGUAAAUUGAAAGAACUGAUGUGUCUUUUGAAUUAAAUAAGUGCUUUGAUGAUGUAAUGAGCAAAUAAAAAUAGUGAUGUGUUAUGUCAUAAAUUGUGUUAAUACACAAACUCGAUUAGCAUUAUUACAGUGGUCAAAAUAUUUUAAUUUCAUGUUGACUGGGUUCUAGUAAAUACUUUGUGCAGAAAUACUAAGGAAGUCAUUUGUGACAUUAGGUUACAAUAAGAUGGUGACUUCCAUCCCAGCUUUGCUUUCUCACUCUGUUAAAGCAUAGUUUACUCAAUGGAAACCAGCUUCCUGUCAUAAGGCAGCCCAGAGAGAAGGAACAUAGUUAUGUGUUGUGAAGACACUCAGCCUAUCAAGAGGUCCAUGUGAUGAGGAACUGAGGACCACUAGCAACUUUGAGGGAGUGUGGAAACAGAUCUUCCCCUGUCAACCUUGUAACAGUCUGACUGCCACCUCUUGAGAGACCCUGAGGCAUAACCACCCAGCCAAGCCACUCCUGGACACUUAAUCCACAGAAACCAUGAACCAAUAGAUGUUGAUUGGUUUAAGCUGCUACACUUGGAACAAUUUAUUGCACAGCAACAAAAGAGCAGAUCACCUGCUGUUAAUUUCUUGCAAUUUUGAAAGCAACAAUUCCCUGCAAGACAUUAAAAGAAACAACUCUUUAAGGUGGAAGUCUUCCAUAGGAAAAUAUAGAAUGAGUUGCUCAGAGGAGGGGACAGCAGAUGGAGCUGCUAGCAGUCAUUUCAGCAGAUCAAUGGGGUUGUUGAAAGCUAAGUUAUGAAAAGAGCAUUGAACCACAAGUGUAAGAAGAAAACAUGGGAAAUCUUAAGCAAAAAAUGGUAGGAUCCAAUUUAUAUUUUUAAAGAUCAUUCUGGUUGUUGAGAUGAGAACUGACAUGGGAUGAGGUAGAGGCAAGAAUAUUACCAGGACCAGGGGGGUAGGUGCUAUAGACCUCCAGGAAAGAAAGAAUCAUCACCUGGAGAAGAUUGGUGUGGGAGACAUGGCAGAAGGACUCAUAUCAUAUUUGGGGUAAAUUCUGAAGGUCCAGACACCUGGACCUGCCUAUGGCCAUGGGGCAGUGGGGGUGAGAGCUCAAGGACAAUUUCCUGUCUUGGAACUAAGACUGAACCAACUGUUGUUAACUGAGAAAAGAGUGAGGGAGGGCAGGUGUUAAAACAGACAGGAAGUCAGGAUUUCUCAUGGGGACAUGCUACGUCAAGCACACCUCCAAGAGGGCAAGGGCACUGCCUGGGGGCUUCUGCUCAUCGGCAGGUGCCUAAGCUCCUGCUGCAAGUCUUGCUCUCGGCAUCCACCCCACCCUUCCUGACUGACACCCUUCUCUUCCAGCUCCUCCAUUUCCUCUGCUUUUGUUGUGCCUGCCGAGUUCAGAGCUGAUAUUUAUCCCACUGCAGCUCACUAAUCUCUUUCCUGCACUGCUGACAUUGGAGAAGGGGAGUGAAAGGUCCUGAGCUGAGUGAUAUCGUGAAG
Molecule: long non-coding RNA, 1848 nt
Filed under: Sus scrofa (pig)
Lineage: Eukaryota; Metazoa; Chordata; Mammalia; Artiodactyla; Suidae
Description: lncRNA (ENSSSCG00015069469.1)
Source: RNAcentral